GACGAACGCUGGCGGCGUGCUUAACACAUGCAAGUCGUACGAGGACCAGGGUGCUUGCACCCUGUAGCCGAGUGGCGGACGGGUGAGUAACACGUGACCAACCUGUCUUCAGGUGGGGGACAACCUGGGGAAACCCGGGCUAAUACCGCAUAACGCUCGAGUCUCGCAUGGGACACGAAUCAAAGGGGGCCUCUGCUUGCAAGCUCUCGCCUGAUGAGGGGGUCGCGACGUAUCAGCUUGUUGGUGAGGUAACGGCUCACCAAGGCGACGACGCGUAGCGGGUCUGAGAGGACGACCCGCCACAUUGGGACUGAGAUACGGCCCAGACUCCUACGGGAGGCAGCAGUGGGGAAUAUUGCACAAUGGGCGAAAGCCUGAUGCAGCAACGCCGCGUGCGCGAAGAAGGCCUUCGGGUUGUAAAGCGCUUUUCUGGAGGAAGAGAAAGGACGGUACUCCAGGAAUAAGGAUCGGCUAACUACGUG
RNAcentral lists this ribosomal RNA (482 nucleotides) under uncultured bacterium. Its description in RNAcentral is "bacterial SSU rRNA". It matches the Rfam family "Bacterial small subunit ribosomal RNA", at positions 28 to 507 of the family's 1533-position model. The record is from RNAcentral.